GAUGAAGAACGUAGCAAAAUGCGAUAAGUAAUGUGAAUUGCAGAAUUCAGUGAAUCAUCGAAUCUUUGAACGCACAUUGCGCCCGCCAGUAUUCUGGCGGGCAUGCCUGUUCGAGCGUCAUUUCAACCCUCAAGCACAGCUUGGUGUUGGGACUCGCGUUAAUUCGCGUUCCUCAAAUUGAUUGGCGGUCACGUCGAGCUUCCAUAGCGUAGUAGUAAAACCCUCGUUACUGGUAAUCGUCGCGGCCACGCCGUUAAACCCCAACUUCUGAAUGUUGACCUCGGAUCAGGUAGGAAUACCCGCUGAACUUAAGUAUAUCAAUAAGCGGAGGA
Molecule: unclassified non-coding RNA, 332 nt
Filed under: soil metagenome
Description: partial contains 5.8S ribosomal RNA, internal transcribed spacer 2, and large subunit ribosomal RNA
Rfam family: 5.8S ribosomal RNA (bases 1-120)
Source: RNAcentral